GACGAACGCUGGCGGCGUGCCUAAUACAUGCAAGUCGAACGAGAGCGACCGGUGCUUGCACUGGUCAAUCUAGUGGCGAACGGGUGAGUAACACGUGGGUAACCUGCCCAUCAGAGGGGGAUAACAUCCGGAAACGGAUGCUAAAACCGCAUAGGUCUUCGAGCCGCAUGGCUUGAAGAGGAAAAGAGGCGCAAGCUUCUGCUGAUGGAUGGACCCGCGGUGCAUUAGCUAGUUGGUGAGGUAACGGCUCACCAAGGCCGUGAUGCAUAGCCGACCUGAGAGGGUGAUCGGCCACAUUGGGACUGAGACACGGCCCAAACUCCUACGGGAGGCAGCAGUAGGGAAUCUUCCGCAAUGGACGCAAGUCUGACGGAGCAACGCCGCGUGAGUGAAGAAGGUUUUCGGAUCGUAAAACUCUGUUGUUAGAGAAGAACAAGUGCUAGAGUAACUGUUAGCGCCUUGACGGUAUCUGACCAGAAAGCCACGGCUAACUACGUG
This 498-nucleotide ribosomal RNA is filed under the name uncultured bacterium. RNAcentral's name for it is "partial 16S ribosomal RNA". It matches the Rfam family "Bacterial small subunit ribosomal RNA", at positions 28 to 507 of the family's 1533-position model. The record is from RNAcentral.